RNAcentral lists this ribosomal RNA (253 nucleotides) under uncultured bacterium. Its description in RNAcentral is "partial 16S ribosomal RNA". It matches the Rfam family "Bacterial small subunit ribosomal RNA", at positions 524 to 776 of the family's 1533-position model. The record is from RNAcentral.
GACGAACCGUGCGAACGUUGUUCGGAAUCACUGGGCUUAAAGGGCGCGUAGGCGGGCUGUCCAGUCUGGGGUGAAAUCCCGCGGCUCAACCGUGGAACUGCCUCAGAUACUGACGGCCUCGAGGGAGAUAGGGGCAUGCGGAACUGUAGGUGGAGCGGUGAAAUGCGUUGAUAUCUGCAGGAACUCCGGUGGCGAAGGCGGCGUGCUGGAUCUCUUCUGACGCUGAGGCGCGAAAGCUAGGGGAGCGAAUGGG